CAUGACUUGAAAUAGCUUCCGCAUAACGAUAUCAUGGCACGUCAACACCUCUAUGAAUGAACAAGUCAAUGUCGACACUUACUUAAUACUUCGCCUUCCGUCUAAUUCCGGCACGCAUAUUAAAUUAAUAUUAACUCUAAUUCCGGCACGCAUAUUCCAUAUUAAAUUUACCAAUGUUAAUUUGGCGCCACGCAUACAUUAUACAUGUACAGACUGCAGAAAGAGAAAAAGCUAGAGACUUGUUCUGAGGCCUAAAUAUAAAGGGAAUUGCAUGCCAGGUUAAAGUUCAGUUAAAAAUAUAAGGUGCGGCCAUAUCUAUAGUCUCAAAGUGUCUAGAUAGAUUCAGAAUAAAAAUAUGUUAUUUCAGAAGUUAAUUUGACAAGUAUAUAAUCAGUAUUGUAUCCUACAUUCGCACCUAUUCCGUACUGCAUGUAUAUAAUAUGUAAUUGUCAGUUCCAAAUAAUUUCUCAGUUUGACUGCAUAUAGUCAUAGAGUAGGACAGUUCUAUAUAGUGACAUUUUUUACAUUGGUAAUGAACGAUAUCAUAAACAACCUGUCUUAUCGAGUUGGUAUGGUAUUUCGAGUAUCAAAUGCAUAUAUUCCUAUUUCUCAAAAUUUUCGCUUGAAAACUGUUUUCACUAUUUAAAAUAAUAGCUACAAAAAUACUAAAAACACAUGUUCCUGACGCUGCCGCCAAUUAUGUUACCGUCUCGUACACUUCAAAACAUCCGAAAUAUUAUUAAACUAAAUAAA
This is a non-coding RNA of Paramuricea clavata, 753 nucleotides long. The record is from the annotation of a GenBank genome assembly. Lineage: Eukaryota; Metazoa; Cnidaria; Anthozoa; Malacalcyonacea; Plexauridae.